This 428-nucleotide ribosomal RNA is filed under the name uncultured bacterium. RNAcentral describes it as "partial 16S ribosomal RNA". It matches the Rfam family "Bacterial small subunit ribosomal RNA", at positions 354 to 796 of the family's 1533-position model. The record is from RNAcentral.
GUGGGGAAUUUUGGACAAUGGGCGCAAGCCUGAUCCAGCGACGCCGCGUGAGUGAUGAAGGCCUUCGGGUCGUAAAGCUCUGUUGCAGGGGAAGAACACAAUGACGGUACCCUGCUAGAAAGGAUCGGCUAACUUCGUGCCAGCAGCCGCGGUAAGACGAGGGAUCCUAGCGUUGUUCGGAAUUAUUGGGCGUAAAGCGGGUGCAGGUGGCUUGGUAAGUCAGAUGUGAAAGCCUGGGGCUUAACCCCAGAAGUGCAUUUGAUACUGCUGAGCUUGAGUGCUGGAGAGGCUAUUAGAAUUCCUGGUGUAGUGGUGAAAUACGUAGAUAUCAGGAGGAAUACCGGAGGCGAAGGCGGAUAGCUGGCCAGACACUGACACUCAGACCCGAAAGCGUGGGGAUCAAACAGGAUUAGCUACCCCAGUAGUCC